Long non-coding RNA from Coregonus clupeaformis (lake whitefish), 415 nucleotides. RefSeq lists it as uncharacterized. The transcript is spliced from 4 exons. The record is from RefSeq and is a predicted model, not a curated record. NCBI's taxonomy places the organism in Eukaryota, Metazoa, Chordata, Actinopteri, Salmoniformes, Salmonidae.
GGUGGGGAUUCUUGCAGGAAACUAACUGCCCAACUGAAACAUUUGGAUUUGAAUUUGAAAGGACAGCAGGUGCAGUCACUUAACUGAAAAAUUAAAAGAUCUACUCAAUUUAAGAAAAUGGACACAAUUCAAUGGAUAUCAAUCAACAAAGAGGUAUACAGAUGAGGAGGCAUACAAUGGUAUGUCUAUUGGUAUGUUAUGCAGAUCACAUGUACCAUCCUCCUCCCUUAACUCUUCAAUGAAAAUCCCAUAGGCCUCUACAUUAUGGGCAAGACUUCACCCUCCCUACACCUCUGAAUAUAACAGGAAACCUGUUUGAUCAGCAUGCAAUGCAAAAUAAUUCUGGCUAUGGAUACGGAGAACAUCAACACAUUAACAUCAACACGCCAGAGGAUUUACCCAUUAGAAGGGGCUC